UAUAUAUAUAUAUAUAUAUAUAUAUAUAUGAAAGACCCAUUUCUCUUUAAUAUCCCAAUGGAUUCUGAAUAUUCAGUUAAUUCAAUGAUCCUGAUCACUGGAGAGAACUAAAACUCAGAAUUAGGAUAUUCCAAUGGAAUAUCUGUGCUGUAAUUAUUGCGUGUAAUAAGCCAGUUGCAAGGCUAUAUUGGGAAAAAUGGUACGGUUUCUUUUCUUUUUUAUAAUGGUUUCUGUUUAUGCAUGAAGCAGCAACACAUGCGACAGUUCAAUCGAGUUUAUUUUUUAUAAGAAUGUGAAAGAGCACGUUCGAACAUCUUUACACACUCCAAGCUGUUCGAAUGUGCUACAGAGAGAAAAACGAAAUCGAAUGUCAACAUCAUAGAUCAUCGCAAAUGGUCUUUUUGGUAUGUAUUGCUCUCCUCUCCGAAACGAGUUAUCACUUCUCCGAAUCAUUCACCUGUUCUGACAGGAUUUUGCCAAAACCGCAGUUUCUCUGCUGCAAUAUUUUAUUAAUUCUGAGAGAAAUUAGAAAGCAUAACAACAGAAUUCGGUAAGAUAUAUAUGUAAAAAACCAUGGACAUCGUCGUCGAUAACGAAGGAAGUUCUGGAGCCGAAGAGGGAUCGAUCGUUAGGAAAUUUGAAUAUAAGCUAUUGUUAAACGGGAUUAAUUUGCUUCAAAACAAAUUUAAGAUGUCGAGAAGACACGUUAUAAACGAAAAACAACCUCUAGUGGCAAAUUUCUCCUUCGGAUAAGAGAGUAAAAGGGAUAUAAAUAAUUUCUUUCCCCACGCGUGUGACACUAGAUGAUGGAUUACUUCGCACCGGAUGUAGAUUCACUACGCUCAACUUGUACUCAGUUAGUGUGGAUCUUCCGGGAGUUAACGUCUCCCUCCUUCCACCAGAAGAAAAGAAACGUCAAUUUCGUAGCAUCUUCGCCCCAAGUGACUUUACUUGUCUUUUAAAUGGAUAAAGCGCCAAGAGUAUCAGCAAAGACUCUGAAUUUUCCUUUAACUAUCGGCAAAGAGGCAACUACAACUAAUAAUUCGCGUAAUCGCAUUAAGAUCUUCAACAUGUUUAUUGUCUUAAAUGCCAGACAUACGCGGAUAAUUUCUGAACACGCUAUUAAACCAUCUUCUCUUUAAGUUUCCUAACGGCAUACAUAAGCUUCUUAACCAUUUGCAAUCGUAUUAAACUCGGAUUUUUAUUCGUUCGUAAAGCGUAC
This 1222-nucleotide long non-coding RNA is filed under the name Androctonus crassicauda. The record is from RNAcentral. Lineage: Eukaryota; Metazoa; Arthropoda; Arachnida; Scorpiones; Buthidae.